GGGUAUGAGGGAGACGGCGAUGUCCGCUACAAAGAGCAUCGAAUCCGUUGGCGCUGCGUUAAUGCGUUUCAGUGGUCUGGAAGGACUGGAAUACCUAAAGCUACGUGGAAGACAUGGAUUUUACGUGGAAUCUGCCUCCGGCUACACAGGGAGGCGUUAGAACGCUGACGAAACGCGAACGCUUGAGAUCCAGGCUGAUACGGACUUGGCGUUCAUUCUCAAGUGUGCUUGAGCUGGGGCAAGAUUCUAUUAUAGACGUGAUGAUGAUGUUGAUGUAUGAAUUCUGGAUGACAGGAAUCGGUUCAUCGAGGUGUUUCGACCGAUUGGUCGGAUCCCGUGGGUCACGUGGUCCUAAUAUAAUAUGGGAAAGUCAAACCUCGGAGGAAAAGGAGACCUUGGAAAUCAGUGAUAAAACACGGAAAUGAACUGACCUCGGAUCAGGAGUCGGAAGACGAGCGGAGAGUGGGAGUAGUGAUAGUGGUGGAGGAGUGAACCCGGAGCAGGUGAACACAGCUGCAGACCGCCAUGGGCUCUCUUCCAUUGGUCCCGACUCUCCAUCUUCAGGUCUCUGAGAGACGGCAGGGGCCAGCCAGGGAGCGUCGGAGUGGGCAGGCGAGGCAGCUCGCUUUCCCCGCCGGCUACCGGCUCCUCGGCAGCGAGGAGGGAGAGAAAUCAAUACUGAGGAGAGAUGCUGCCAGGGGUCGCCCAACGCUGCCUCCAGCCAUGGAGCCAUGGGAGCCCGAGUGUUCGGCUUUCUCUCUCUUGCAGCCCAAUCUCAGUCAACUCGUAUCAGCUAAAGCGAGGGCCAACAGCCUUGACGCUCUUCAUGCAACACCGAGUGUGUGUGUGCUUGCUUGUGUGGUUCUGCCAGAGGGCCUUUACAGGAUUGGCAUCACUUGAUAAAACUUUGCCUGCUGGAGAACAAGUAGAAAAAGAAUGUCAAAGGUCUUUCUUUCCCCCAUCUUUGAUUCCUAGUUCGCCAUAAGUGCACAUUCCCCCUGACUGUUGUAAUGAGUGCUUGACAGAGAUCUCUUUUACGCUAAAUCAAGAGGCCUUCUUUUUUUAGUGGUCCUCCUCCUGAGCAUGCACAAAGUGCUCUACAUCUGAUGGGCUGGGAUGAGAGAGCAGUUUGAAUCCUUUUUCCACCUGGUUUUAUCAGAUUUUUUUUUAUGGACGCACUAUUCGAGAGGCUCGGAAAAAGGACUUGGCCUUGAUUUGUAGGUGAAGGGUUUGGCGCCUACCCUUCCUGGGCACUUUGUAACCAUUUUCACCCUUGACCCUGGCACUUGAUGCGUAUUAAUAACAGUGCGGACCAAUCGAGCACAGUGCAAGAUGGAGAAGUUCCAAAAAAGUUGAUCCCACAAGGUUGCAGAUCCACUGGGAUGUGGACAACUGAAACAUGGCCCGAGCUAGAUACCAACAAUUCGAAAACUGGAGUGCCUGGUGGCAGUGGAUAUUUCCUGUAUCUUUGGAUGCUCAACGAGAAGUUGGAUUCGGUUUUGGACUAAAUCUUGAUCACCACAGACAAAUCAAGAGGAGAUGGUUUCUAUUUAAUUACAGUAGAUCACUGUUUUUCAGUAAGACUGUGUUGUUUUUGUUGAAUCUUUUUUUUUUGUCAUCAAGUAAGUAUUUUUGGACAAUAAAGGUAAGUUCAUUUUUUUAAGUCUUUUGAAAUGUACAGGACAAAGGUACAGUACAUAUAUAGACAUUCAUAUAGAUGGAUAGAUAUUUAUACAUAGAUCUACAGUAGAUAUUCAUAUAGAUGGUGUGCAGAUAGAGGUUCAUAUAAAUGGAUAAAUAACAGAUGUGUAGAUA
Molecule: long non-coding RNA, 1815 nt
Organism: Carassius auratus (goldfish)
Lineage: Eukaryota; Metazoa; Chordata; Actinopteri; Cypriniformes; Cyprinidae
Exons: 4
Source: RefSeq, a predicted model, not a curated record